RNAcentral lists this long non-coding RNA (1647 nucleotides) under Brassica napus (rape). RNAcentral describes it as "long non-coding RNA (BNAP_LNC008878)". The record is from RNAcentral. Lineage: Eukaryota; Viridiplantae; Streptophyta; Magnoliopsida; Brassicales; Brassicaceae.
UAUAAUUUAAAUAGAAGAAUGGUCGUUGUCCUUUGUUUUUCAAUGAUUGAUCAAAAGUGCAUUAGUUUAACAUGAAAAUGGUAUUUACUUUCAAAACUUUAGAAGAAAGUAAAGGAGAAAAGCUCCUAUAAUUUACAAAGAAUAAGUCUAUUGCUAACUCAUGAAGAAGAAAAGAUCUGGAUAAUCAUCAUCAUUGGAGCCUAGACGUUACGUUUAUGAAUAUAUCUUCAGGACAAGGGAUGGUUAAGCCACCCAUCGGAUGAUCAAACCCAAACUCUUCCUCGGAUUUACUGAGUAGCGCUUGAAAAGAAGGCUGGCUCAAGUAUGAGAUUGGCACCACAUAGAAAGACCAGUGAAUAUAAUGUGUUGAAAAGUCUUUGAAACUUGUGGUCUUUGAAGCGUGGGACAGAGUAGAACAGAGAGUAUCACAUGGUUCUGUCUUUAGCAUCUUGAAAAGAAGCAUCAUUGCAAUUUGUUGCCCACUUGGAUAGUACUCUCCUAGUCCCUAUGCAGUUCACAAGGGAUUGUCUUCUCAAUGUUUCUGAGAUAAGACGUCUCCACUUGCACCGUUUCUGUGAAUCUGUGAUGAUUUAGUGGUUGGCUCUCUUGCUUAUCCUCUAAACUCUAUGGUUGAAAUAAAUUUAAUAAUAACUUAAAGUAGGGACCUGUUGUUCCUGAACAACAGAACAGAAAACACAUGUUUUUGUCACUGGUUAAGUUAAUUCGGUAAUUUACACAUGACAAUUCUAAGUAAAACUAUUUCGGCCUUUGAGGUUUGCUAGAUAAAGAGAAAACAGAGCACAGAAGAUACAUUUGAUCAAAUGACUGAUAUUGUUACUUGAGUUGUAAGACUGAUAAAUAGUAAGACAUAAAUAUUGAAAGCUGAGAAUGCAUUCACUCCCUUGGAGAUGUAGUCUGGUUCUUCUAACUUUAGCUUUUAGAAUUUUGAUAAGAAAGAUAAUGGAGAAGCUGUUGUUACAAGAAACUGCCGGUUUUGUAAACUAUCGUAUUUGUUGGCACCAGUUUAACGGUAAAAGAGAGAAACUGAGAAAAUCUCGAAAAGGGUAAAAAGGACUUUCUAGCAGAUAAAUUGGUUAAGUUGAGCUACGGAUCCAUAUGAAAAUGCUCAUUUAAUUUGUUAAUGGCAACCAAAGUACAAAAUAUAUAGUUCUUUACUUGCUGUUGUCAUUUCUAUUUCAAUAAUCAAAUCUAAAGUGUAUUAAUUUAACACGAAUCAUGAUUGUGCCUAUAACUGAAAAAUGGUAUUUACUUUCAAAAAAUUUAGAACAACUUUUUCAAGAUGAAAGAGAAAAACGUUUCUCCUCUAUUUACAAAGAACAUGUCUAUCUCUAUCUCGAAGAACAAUAUGUUGGAUAAUCAUCGUUGAAGCCGGGAAGUCACAUUGAUGAAGAUAUCUUCAGGACAAGGGAUCGUUAAACCACCCAUUGGAUGAUCAAACCCAAACUCUUCUUCGGAUUUGCUGAGAAGAGCUUGAAAUGAAGGCUGGCUCAAGUAUGAGACUGGCACCACAUAUCUCUUCUUCUGACCCUCUCCUACGUACACAGCAAGAAACCCCUUUGGUGCCGCCGAGGUUGCACUUUUGCUUGUUGCUACUGAGAGGGAGCGGCCAAGAAUCUUCUUUGCACC